CCCCGGUAAACGGCGGCCGUAACUAUAACGGUCCUAAGGUAGCGAAAUUCCUUGUCGGGUAAGUUCCGACCUGCACGAAUGGCGUAAUGAUGGCCAGGCUGUCUCCACCCGAGACUCAGUGAAAUUGAACUCGCUGUGAAGAUGCAGUGUACCCGCGGCAAGACGGAAAGACCCCGUGAACCUUUACUAUAGCUUGACACUGAACAUUGAGCCUUGAUGUGUAGGAUAGGUGGGAGGCUUUGAAGUGUGGACGCCAGUCUGCAUGGAGCCGACCUUGAAAUACCACCCUUUAAUGUUUGAUGUUCUAACGUGGACCCGUAAUCCGGGUUGCGGACAGUGUCUGGUGGGUAGUUUGACUGGGGCGGUCUCCUCCUAAAGAGUAACGGAGGAGCACGAAGGUUGGCUAAUCCUGGUCGGACAUCAGGAGGUUAGUGCAAUGGCAUAAGCCAGCUUGACUGCGAGCGUGACGGCGCGAGCAGGUGCGAAAGCAGGUCAUAGUGAUCCGGUGGUUCUGAAUGGAAGGGCCAUCGCUCAACGGAUAAAAGGUACUCCGGGGAUAACAGGCUGAUACCGCCCAAGAGUUCAUAUCGACGGCGGUGUUUGGCACCUCGAUGUCGGCUCAUCACAUCCUGGGGCUGAAGUAGGUCCCAAGGGUAUGGCUGUUCGCCAUUUAAAGUGGUACGCGAGCUGGGUUUAGAACGUCGUGAGACAGUUCGGUCCCUAUCUGCCGUGGGCGCUGGAGAACUGAGGGGGGCUGCUCCUAGUACGAGAGGACCGGAGUGGACGCAUCACUGGUGUUCGGGUUGUCAUGCCAAUGGCACUGCCCGGUAGCUAAAUGCGGAAGAGAUAAGUGCUGAAAGCAUCUAAGCACGAAACUU
RNAcentral lists this ribosomal RNA (878 nucleotides) under Salmonella enterica. Its description in RNAcentral is "partial 23S ribosomal RNA". It matches the Rfam family "Bacterial large subunit ribosomal RNA", at positions 1918 to 2795 of the family's 2925-position model. Lineage: Bacteria; Pseudomonadati; Pseudomonadota; Gammaproteobacteria; Enterobacterales; Enterobacteriaceae. The record is from RNAcentral. RNAcentral also lists the same sequence under 1 other name.